RNAcentral lists this long non-coding RNA (490 nucleotides) under Fukomys damarensis (Damara mole-rat). RNAcentral's name for it is "lncRNA (ENSFDAG00000029053.1)". The record is from RNAcentral. Lineage: Eukaryota; Metazoa; Chordata; Mammalia; Rodentia; Bathyergidae.
CCCGUGUCUGAGGCCUGUUGUUGCCCCUGUUUGCUCUAUUUUCAGCUGCUGCGGGGGAGAGGAAAGGCCUCCAUUGCAGCUGGUUUUUGGGUGCUCACAGCUUAAUGGACAGAGAGUGGCUACCCCAGUACAGAAAGUCCAAGCGCACACCUCAGCAGUUCAGGUGAGCAGCUGGGGCGGCUCUCGAGGGGAGGACAAUCACGUUGCUGAAGGUUUUUAUCACCAGCAUGCCACGCUGACCACGUGGAGGCCCGUGAGUUCCUUAAUACUGUGGUUCUCUCCGAACGGUGAUUGACAGAUGGUGCUUGGAUGACCCAUGACCCCAAGAGAAGAAAUGAACUUGAGAAAAUUCUGGAGAUGAAUCCUCAAAGCAGGGGUCGCUGAAUGUUUCCUUAAAGGGUCAGGAGGUGACUCGGGAGGUUUCCUCAGGUGGGAGCUGUACCAUUGUGACAUCUGUCCCUGACAGAGACCCACUCUGUGUGUGUGUGUG